Molecule: ribosomal RNA, 253 nt
Filed under: uncultured bacterium
Lineage: Bacteria
Description: partial 16S ribosomal RNA
Rfam family: Bacterial small subunit ribosomal RNA
Source: RNAcentral
UACAUGGGGUGCAAACGUUGCUCGGAAUUAUUGGGCGUAAAGCGCGCGUAGGCGGUUACUUAAGUCGGAUGUGAAAGCCCUCGGCUUAACUGAGGAAGUGCACCCGAAACUGAGUAGCUGGAGUACGAAAGAGGGUCGCGGAAUUCCCGGUGUAGAGGUGAAAUUCGUAGAUAUCGGGAGGAACACCGGUGGCGAAGGCGGCGACCUGGGUAGAUACUGACGCUGAGGUGCGAAAGCGUGGGGAGCAAACAGG